UUUUUAAAUUAUUGUAUACAUAAAUUCAUGAUGUUGGGGCAUUUCUCAAAGAAACAUUGAAAUCAAAAGUCUUUUAGCGCCAAUAUUUUGACAC
This is a long non-coding RNA of Aricia agestis (brown argus), 94 nucleotides long. RefSeq lists it as uncharacterized. Lineage: Eukaryota; Metazoa; Arthropoda; Insecta; Lepidoptera; Lycaenidae. The transcript has 3 exons. The record is from RefSeq and is a predicted model, not a curated record.